AUUGAACGCUGGCGGCAUGCCUUACACAUGCAAGUCGAACGGCAGCACGGGAGCAAUCCUGGUGGCGAGUGGCGAACGGGUGAGUAAUAUAUCGGAACGUGCCCAGUCGUGGGGAUAACGUAGCGAAAGCUACGCUAAUACCGCAUACGAUCUAUGGAUGAAAGCGGGGGAUCGCAAGACCUCGCGCGAUUGGAGCGGCCGAUAUCAGAUUAGGUAGUUGGUGAGGUAAAGGCUCACCAAGCCGACGAUCUGUAGCUGGUCUGAGAGGACGACCAGCCACACUGGGACUGAGACACGGCCCAGACUCCUACGGAGGCAGCAGUGGGGAA
This 329-nucleotide ribosomal RNA is filed under the name uncultured bacterium. Its description in RNAcentral is "bacterial SSU rRNA". It matches the Rfam family "Bacterial small subunit ribosomal RNA", at positions 30 to 361 of the family's 1533-position model. The record is from RNAcentral.